This 72-nucleotide transfer RNA is filed under the name Selaginella moellendorffii. It matches the Rfam family "tRNA". From Rfam's summary of the family: Transfer RNA (tRNA) molecules are approximately 80 nucleotides in length. Their secondary structure includes four short double-helical elements and three loops (D, anti-codon, and T loops). Lineage: Eukaryota; Viridiplantae; Streptophyta; Lycopodiopsida; Selaginellales; Selaginellaceae. The record is from Rfam by way of RNAcentral.
GGUUUCGUGGUCUAGUGGUAGUGACACUCGACUCUGAAUCCAGUAACCGGAGUUCAAAUCUCGGUGGAACCU